This 252-nucleotide ribosomal RNA is filed under the name uncultured prokaryote. RNAcentral describes it as "partial 16S ribosomal RNA". It matches the Rfam family "Bacterial small subunit ribosomal RNA", at positions 525 to 775 of the family's 1533-position model. The record is from RNAcentral.
ACGUAGGGUGCGAGCGUUGAUCGGAAUUACUGGGCGUAAAGCGUGCGCAGGCGGCUUUGUAAGACAGGUGUGAAAUCCCCGGGCUUAACCUGGGAACUGCGCUUGUGACUGCAAGGCUUGAGUGCGGCAGAGGGGGGUGGAAUUCCACGUGUAGCAGUGAAAUGCGUAGAGAUGUGGAGGAACACCGAUGGCGAAGGCAGCCCCCCUGGGUCGACACUGACGCUCAUGCACGAAAGCGUGGGUAGCAAACAG